Molecule: ribosomal RNA, 443 nt
Filed under: uncultured bacterium
Lineage: Bacteria
Description: bacterial SSU rRNA
Rfam family: Bacterial small subunit ribosomal RNA
Source: RNAcentral
GCAAUACGGAUGGUGGCGACCGGCGCACGGGUGAGUAACACGUAUGCAACCUACCUUUAACAGGGAAUAACCCGUGAAAAACGGACUAAUACUCCAUAACACAGGGUCCCGCAUGGGAAUAUUUGUUAAAGAUUAAUCGGUUGAAGAUGGGCAUGCGUUCCAUUAGCUUGUUGGUGAGGUAACGGCUCACCAAGGCCACGAUGGAUAGGGAACUGAGAGGUUUAUCCCCCACACUGGAACUGAGACACGGUCCAGACUCCUACGGGAGGCGGCAGUGAGGAAUAUUGGUCAAUGGAGGCAACUCUGAACCAGCCAAGUCGCGUUAGAAGGAUGAAGGUCUUAUGGAUUGUAAACUUCUUUUGCAAGGGAAUAAGGUGGGGGACGUGUCCUCCUUUGCAUGUACCUUGCGAAUAAGGAUCGGCUAACUCCGUGCCAGCCGCCGC